Molecule: non-coding RNA, 778 nt
Organism: Paramuricea clavata
Lineage: Eukaryota; Metazoa; Cnidaria; Anthozoa; Malacalcyonacea; Plexauridae
Source: the annotation of a GenBank genome assembly
AACCAUAAGGGCCUGAUACUCAGGUUAGGAAUGUUACUACAAGUCAACCUCGUACCCAGGGUUUUUCCUCUUGGCGAGGGGAGAAAAGACCCUGGUAGACGCUGGUCACGUGAUCUGCUAAAAUCUACUAGCAGAUUUUUAAUUAGCAAUCCAAGAUGAGGUCAAUAAAUAUUUGAUAUUUGGAUGAUUUUUAUAGUUUAAUUUAUAAUUUGUUUUUUGUAUGAUUGUCGUAAAGGAAUCCAAGAUAGUUAAUUAGAAAUCUGCUAGAUUUUAGCAGAUCACGUGACCAGCGUCUACCAGGUCUUUGCUCCCCAAGAGGAAAGACCCUGGGUACGAGGUUGACUACAAGUUUAUUGGAAACUUAAAUUUGCCGACCUGUUUUUGUCUCAGCGUGACAUAACUCUUAGUGGCUACAUAUAACGUUCACGCGUUGUUAUAACAGAUAGCAGGCUUGCAUGUCAUUUUCCCAUGUUCAAGUGAAUUGACGUGAUAUUAUUAUUAUUAUUAUGUUAUUAUUGUAGUUUCCCAUAAUGAUGGUAAUUGUAUUAUUUAUGCAUUAGGUGUGCAACAACAAAGGAAAUUGUCACUGCAACAGCGGCUACGCGUGUCCAGACUGCCUAGAAGUCGGACCAGAUCAAGGGGGAAGUGUGGACAGCGGACAGGGAUGUCAAGCAAGAAAGAAAAGUAUGAUAGCCCGAUGUAAUAAAUUGUCUGCAUUGAGUAAAGACUGAUUUACAUGCCAAUAUGGUACCCAGGGCAUUUUACCUCACGGCGGAAG